UACGUCGGGGGCAAGCGUUGUCCGGAUUUAUUGGGCGUAAAGAGCGUGUAGGCGGCCAUACAGGUCAGCUGUGAAAACUCGAGGCUCAACCUCGAGACGUCGGUUGAAACCGUAUGGCUAGAGUCCGGAAGAGGAGAGUGGAAUUCCCGGUGUAGCGGUGAAAUGCGCAGAUAUCGGGAAGAACACCCGUGGCGAAGGCGGCUCUCUGGGACGGUACUGACGCUGAGACGCGAAAGCGUGGGGAGCGAACAGG
This 253-nucleotide ribosomal RNA is filed under the name uncultured bacterium. RNAcentral's name for it is "partial 16S ribosomal RNA". It matches the Rfam family "Bacterial small subunit ribosomal RNA", at positions 524 to 776 of the family's 1533-position model. The record is from RNAcentral.